AUGGUGAGCUACGAUGAUGUCCGUGAUCAUGUGGCAUCUCUGUUCAUCAUGCUGAACAAGAAAACUGUUAUCUUGUUUCGCAUCGAGUUCCUGGUGGUCCUCGCCACACUGCUCUUCUUCGCCAUGUUCCUCAUGGAUUUCUUUCGCCGCAUGAUCCACAACUCGUUCAUGAGGGCCGUCUUCAGCGUCUUCGACGCCGUCUCCGACUCCAUUGUCCUGUACCUCCUGGGGGCCAUGCAAACGGCGCCUUUCAAGAAUCAGCUCUUCCCGGUGUGGGCUCUUAUGCUUGUCAAUUUCCGUUACAGUGCAGAUUACAUCUCCGGGUAUGGUGUUCCUGACCGCAGGGGGCGAAGGUUCACUGAGUGGAGGAACGUGUUCAAGCUCCUGGGAUCGGCGUUCCUGAAUUGGACGCGUGGAUCCAGAUUCACAGGUCCACUAUGGUCCGUCUGGUGUCUGCAGAUAGUGAGGAGUGCCUACAGAUUCUUCUCACAUAAACUGGCAGUCGGCUCCUUCUGGCAUGGCGGGAGUUCGCAGCUUGUUGCAGAACACAUGCGUGCCAGAUAUGAUGAUAGCACGAGCAACUCGCGAGUAGUGCCUGACCCAGUGACGAUGGAAGGCUACAACUACUUGGUGUAUGGAGAAGAAAGUCAUGGUUUCCAACUAAAGAAGCCUAUGUAUGCAUUUUCUGCCGACACUAGUGCCCGUCUGCCCGGAUGGUUCAGCCUAGCUAGAUGUCGUUGCUGUGCUGCAAGAGAAGAUACUUACAGCAGCACCAGGUCGCCAACACUGGUCACGCUGGACAAGGUCUGGCUAUGUUUUGGCGAUACACCUACCCAGAAGACCGACCUAAAGGAUCUCCCUCUGGCCUUCGCCUUGUCCAGGCUGCUGCGGUGCCGGCUUGAGGAUGUGACACUGCAUCCAUGUAUCUUUAAAGUAAACCGAGAGCUGGUCAAGAGCAUAAUUGGUGGGAAGGUGGGUGCCAGCGAUGCCCUCAGGAUCAUGGAGCUGCAGCUUGCCUUCGUCCACGACUAUUUCAACACCCGCCACCCCAUGGUGUUCUGGUCUGGGCUGCUAUCUCUCUUCGUCACCCUGUUUCUGUCCAUGCUGACCAUUGCUGCUGUCUGCUGGCUCGCUAUGGAUAUCCGUAGGGUCUAUAAGCCCCCAAACGGCGAGCUUGCUAAUAUGGUGAAGGGUUUUAAUAUCGACAUGAUCAUCACAUGGGCAUUCAUUUUAUUGAUGAUUGCCAAGGAGGUUUGGGAGAUGGUGACAUACUUACUCUCGGACUGGACACGCUUAAUCCUGGCGUGUGAGUAUGUGCAGAUGAGGUGGCAGAGGAACAAGUUUACAUGUCUGUAUCAGAUGCUAUUUUCGAUUUCCAGACGUAAAAUUACUGAUAAGAGGUGGCAUGGUUUCAUUGACCAGUAUUUCUUCAUGCAGUCGUAUGAUGACAGACCAAGACUUUGGAAUUUUGUUCACAACCUAACUACAGGAAUAAUUCCAAAGAAAGAUGAUGGGGCAAAGCUCAACUGUGCCAUCAAAGUUCCAGAGUUUGUCAAGAAGGCAGUUCUAGAGAAGCUCAGCACAAUUGUAGAGGAAGAACAAGGUUGUAGUCUGCCUAGGGUCAUCAAGACAUUGUCCAACAGUAACCUUAGGAAGCAGUUGCAGAACUACAAGGCUUACAGUGCACGACCGACGAGCACCCAGAUCCUCCUGCCAACAAGCUCUCACAUCAUUCUCAUGUGGCACAUUGCCACCAGCCUCUGCGAGAUGGAGCUUGCGACAAAACACGGCGUCAACUUGAGCAACCCUGGGUUUCCGUGUUCCCUCUUGUCUUGGUUGACUUCUUGCUGCUCAUCCAAACCGUAUCUUAUGGAUUUGGGUGAGAAGGAAGAUGACAUCUUGUCAUGGUUAACAAACUGCUGCUCAUCCAAGUCAAGUGAGAAUUUGCCUGAUGAGCUCCGGGAAUCAUACACCGUUGCGAAUAGCUUAUCGCGGUACUGUGCAUAUCUGGUGGUUGCAAAGCCAGACCUGAUCCCUGACAGCUUUCUUGUUCCCAAGAUAGUCUUCCAAAAAACUGUCCAGAGUGCUCGUGAUCGCUUUCUGAAAAACUGUGAUUCAUUAGAGAGCAGGCACAGAAAACUGAAAAACAAAGCAGAAAAACCUGUCAAAGACUCUGAAAAGGAAGAUGUAUUGAAACAAGGUGCCGUGCUGGGUAAGGAACUGCUCAAUCUUCCAACUGAUGAAGCUCGCUGGAAGAUCCUGGCAGGGGUAUGGACAGAGUUACUUAUACACAUUGCGCCCACGUGGAAUGCACAGGCACACAGGAAGUGUCUUUCUGGAGGGGAGUUCAUAACCCACAUCUGGGCAUUGCUUUGGCACUAUGGCAUCCAGAAUAGUAGCCUGUGGCCAAAUGAAGUUGCGACAGGAAACAAUGCUCCUGCAAUGCCUCAGAAUAAUGGUGUCGGAAAUGAACACAAUAUGGACGAGACAGGGCAAGCUUGUGCAGGCAUAAGCAACAACCAGAUUGAAAUUAAUGUUCAUGGACGGGAUGAGAUCAAGGGUGCACAAGAGCAUGAGACACGAAACUCAAGGAGAGGACCAAGAAGAAUGGAGGAAACAGAGAGUAUAGAAAUCGAGGAGGGGAAUCAGGAUGCGAUAGUGGAGGACACAAAAAUUCAGAGAGGAAUGGCUGGCUGGCCAAACACAAAACAAGAGUGA
Molecule: ribosomal RNA, 2718 nt
Filed under: Triticum aestivum (bread wheat)
Lineage: Eukaryota; Viridiplantae; Streptophyta; Magnoliopsida; Poales; Poaceae
Description: partial small subunit ribosomal RNA
Source: RNAcentral